Molecule: RNase P RNA, 401 nt
Filed under: Bombella sp. ESL0385
Lineage: Bacteria; Pseudomonadati; Pseudomonadota; Alphaproteobacteria; Acetobacterales; Acetobacteraceae
Description: RNase P RNA component class A
Rfam family: Bacterial RNase P class A
About the family: Ribonuclease P (RNase P) is a ubiquitous endoribonuclease, found in archaea, bacteria and eukarya as well as chloroplasts and mitochondria. Its best characterised activity is the generation of mature 5'-ends of tRNAs by cleaving the 5'-leader elements of precursor-tRNAs. Cellular RNase Ps are ribonucleoproteins.
Source: RNAcentral
UCAGAUGGUCGGGCGAUCGCUGUAGCUCUUUAAAAGGGCUAGGGAGGAAAGUCCGGGCUCCACAGGAAGACGGUGCCGGCUAACGGCCGGCGGGGGUGACCCUAGGGACAGUGCCACAGAAACAAAACCGUCCGCCUAUCCCCCUUUUUACAAGGGUGAUGCGGAUAAGGGUGAAACGGUGCGGUAAGAGCGCACCGCGCGGCUGGCAACAGCAGCGGACAUGGUAAACCCCACCGGGAGCAAGACCGAAUAGGAAUGACAAGCCACAUAUGGCUGGGGGUGCCUGCCCCGUCAUUCGGGUUGGUUGCGUGAGGUGUAUUGCAAAAUACAUCCCAGAGGAAUGAUCGCCCCAUCCCCAUAAGGGGAUAGGACAGAACCCGGCUUACAGACCAUCUGGCCCU